UACAGAGGGGGCAAGCGUUAUUCGGAAUUAUUGGGCGUAAAGAGCGUGUAGGCGGUCCGGUAAGUCCGCUGUGAAAGUCGGGGGCUCAACCCUCGAAUGCCGGUGGAUACUGUCGGGCUAGAGUGCGGAAGAGGCGAGUGGAAUUCCUGGUGUAGCGGUGAAAUGCGCAGAUAUCAGGAGGAACACCUAUUGCGAAGGCAGCUCGCUGGGACGUAACUGACGCUGAGACGCGAAAGCGUGGGGGAGCAAACAGG
RNAcentral lists this ribosomal RNA (254 nucleotides) under uncultured bacterium. Its description in RNAcentral is "partial 16S ribosomal RNA". It matches the Rfam family "Bacterial small subunit ribosomal RNA", at positions 524 to 776 of the family's 1533-position model. The record is from RNAcentral.